Molecule: ribosomal RNA, 1449 nt
Filed under: uncultured bacterium
Lineage: Bacteria
Description: bacterial SSU rRNA
Rfam family: Bacterial small subunit ribosomal RNA
Source: RNAcentral
AGGGUUUGAUCAUGGCUCAGGAUGAACGCUGGCGGCGUGCUUAACACAUGCAAGUCGAACGAACCUUCGGGUUAGUGGCGGACGGGUGAGUAACGCGUGAGAAUCUGCCCUCAGGAGGGGGAUAACGGUUGGAAACGACCGCUAAUACCCCAUAUGCCUAUUGGUGAAAUGAAUUUCGCCUGAGGAUGAGCUCGCGUCUGAUUAGCUAGUUGGUGAGGUAAUGGCUCACCAAGGCUUCGAUCAGUAGCUGGUCUGAGAGGAUGAUCAGCCACACUGGGACUGAGACACGGCCCAGACUCCUACGGGAGGCAGCAGUGGGGAAUUUUCCGCAAUGGGCGAAAGCCUGACGGAGCAACGCCGCGUGAGGGACGAAGGCCUCUGGGCUGUAAACCUCUUUUCUCAAGGAAGAAGAUAUGACGGUACUUGAGGAAUAAGCCACGGCUAAUUCCGUGCCAGCAGCCGCGGUAAUACGGGAGUGGCAAGCGUUAUCCGGAAUUAUUGGGCGUAAAGCGUCCGCAGGCGGCUUUUCAAGUCUGCUGUUAAAGAGUGGAGCUUAACUCCAUCAUGGCAGUGGAAACUGAAAGGCUUGAGUAUGGUAGGGGCAGAGGGAAUUCCCGGUGUAGCGGUGAAAUGCGUAGAUAUCGGGAAGAACACCAGUGGCGAAGGCGCUCUGCUGGGCCAUUACUGACGCUCAUGGACGAAAGCCAGGGGAGCGAAAGGGAUUAGAUACCCCUGUAGUCCUGGCCGUAAACGAUGAACACUAGGUGUCGGGGGAAUCGACCCCUUCGGUGUCGUAGCUAACGCGUUAAGUGUUCCGCCUGGGGAGUACGCACGCAAGUGUGAAACUCAAAGGAAUUGACGGGGGCCCGCACAAGCGGUGGAGUAUGUGGUUUAAUUCGAUGCAACGCGAAGAACCUUACCAGGGUUUGACAUCCUGCGAACCUCUUAGAAAUUUGAGGGUGCCUUCGGGAAUGCAGUGACAGGUGGUGCAUGGCUGUCGUCAGCUCGUGUCGUGAGAUGUUGGGUUAAGUCCCGCAACGAGCGCAACCCACGUUUUUAGUUGCCAGCAUUUAGUUGGGCACUCUAGAAAGACCGCCGGUGAUAAACCGGAGGAAGGUGUGGAUGACGUCAAGUCAUCAUGCCCCUUACACCCUGGGCUACACACGUACUACAAUGCUACGGACAAAGGGCAGCAAACUCGCGAGAGCUAGCAAAUCCCAUAAACCGUGGCUCAGUUCAGAUCGUAGGCUGCAACUCGCCUACGUGAAGUAGGAAUCGCUAGUAAUCGCAGGUCAGCAUACUGCGGUGAAUACGUUCCCGGGCCUUGUACACACCGCCCGUCACACCAUGGAAGUUGGCCAUGCCCGAAGUCGUUACUCCAACCCUUGUGGAGGAGGACGCCGAAGGUGGGGCUAAUGACUGGGGUGAAGUCGUAACAAGGUAACCGUA